Molecule: ribosomal RNA, 253 nt
Filed under: uncultured bacterium
Lineage: Bacteria
Description: partial 16S ribosomal RNA
Rfam family: Bacterial small subunit ribosomal RNA
Source: RNAcentral
UACGUAGGUGGCAAGCGUUGUCCGGAAUUAUUGGGCGUAAAGCGCGCGUAGGUGGUUUGGUAAGUCGGAUGUGAAAUCCCCGGGCUCAACCUGGGAACUGCAUUCGAAACUGCCUGGCUAGAGUUUGAGAGAGGGAAGUGGAAUUCCACAUGUAGCGGUGAAAUGCGUAGAUAUGUGGAGGAACAUCAGUGGCGAAGGCGGCUUCCUGGCUUAAAACUGACACUGUGGCGCGAAAGCGUGGGUAGCAAACAGG